This is a non-coding RNA of Onychomys torridus (southern grasshopper mouse), 80 nucleotides long. Lineage: Eukaryota; Metazoa; Chordata; Mammalia; Rodentia; Cricetidae. The record is from the annotation of a RefSeq genome assembly.
GUUAGGGAUUUAGCUCAGUGGUAGAGUGUUUGCCUAGCAAGCACAAGGCCCUGGGUUCAAUUCCCAGCUCCACAAAAACA